AUUGAACGCUGGCGGCAUGCCUAACACAUGCAAGUCGAACGGGGGUAGCGAUACCCUAGUGGCGGACGGGUGAGGAACGCGUAGGAAUUGGCCCACGAGUGGGGGACAACCUGGGGAAACCCAGGCUAAUACCGCAUACGCUCGCGAGAGGAAAGCGGGGGAUCUACGGACCUCGCGCUGGUGGACAAGCCUACGUCCGAUUAGCUAGUUGGCAGGGUAAAAGCCUACCAAGGCGACGAUCGGUAGCUGGUCUGAGAGGAUGAUCAGCCACACUGGGACUGAGACACGGCCCAGACUCCUACGGGAGGCAGCAGUGGGGAAUAUUGGACAAUGGGCGCAAGCCUGAUCCAGCAAUGCCGCGUGGGUGAAGACGGCCUGCGGGUUGUAAAGCCCUUUAAGCGGGGAGGAACGCCGGAACGCGAAUACCGUUUCGGACUGACGUUACCCGCAGAAUAAGCACCGGCUAACUCCGUG
RNAcentral lists this ribosomal RNA (474 nucleotides) under uncultured bacterium. RNAcentral's name for it is "bacterial SSU rRNA". It matches the Rfam family "Bacterial small subunit ribosomal RNA", at positions 29 to 507 of the family's 1533-position model. The record is from RNAcentral.